CCGAGCAGGGACUGGGGCCCUUAAGGAGCACUCUCCUUGCUUCUGAGGCCAGAGGCCUCCCCCAGGGCACCCCUCCAGGCCUUGCCCUUGUCCCUCAUCCCUCCCCAGACACAGCUUGUCUGCGCCACGCUUUGCAGGAGUCACCUGCUCGGCCUGCCUUGCUCUCGUCCCUCGGGGAAUACACAUCUCCUUGUCUGCUAAGCUGCGAUUUUACAGGAUCAGCGUCCCAAGGGGAGGCCUGCACUCGUCCAGUUCUGCCUGUAACAGGCUGUCUGCCGAGACGUUAGCAUCAUCUCGCUGUUGAGCAGCGAAGCAGCAUUCUCCGAAUCCACUUUACGGGUAAUAACCGUGGCAUGUUGCACUCCAUCUGCCCAACUCUGUGUCUAACUCUUGAUUAUUCUCAACUCAGAGAAGAGAAGGAAUGGUAUUAUUGGCAUCCUCACACCCCAGUCCUCUCCAUGACGCUCAGCCCAUGCAAGUGACGGGGGAGUCCCCCGACACGCCACCUGACCUUCCCUGUGCUGAGGGCUCCAGACCUAAUCAAUCAACCUUUGGUCAUAGUGAUGGACUCAGAAUUGGGCACACAGUUCAAGUAGACUCAAAGAGAGGCUGUCCCUGGGAGUUACCAGAUUCUUUAGAGAAUCGAAGCUGUGAUUUCCACUGGGACUACUCAGAGUACACACAGUGCAGACCAAGACUUGUAGCGUGAGACCUCGGAGCCGCUGAGAGUAGGCUGAAGAAGCCGUGAUGCCCUUUCUCAAGGCCGUGUGAUGAAGGCGUGGAGGGCUGCACUUGGUACAGAGAGAGCCCGAGAGGGACUGUCGUGGAGAACUCCGGCCAGCAGCUUCUGACACCAACACGCACGCCCUGUCAGCAGCACUGUCAGCCUUUGGCAGAAGCAGAAGGAAAAUUUCUAACUGUGUUCAUUGCACUAUUGGAAUUUUUGUCUCAUCAGCCUCCCUUCUAGGAGAGUCUGGGACUGGAGAUAGAGAAGUCCAGGAGACAUCUCUCAAUGUCUGUGCCCACCUGGCUGGCUCAGCACCUGUGAGCAACACCUGGGGAGAGACCCCGCUAUGUCAGCGGUCUCUCUCGGUCCCUUGGACAGGGUCGAUCAGAUUGGGUGCAUUAAGAGGGCUGGAUUGGAGACAGAGCUGCCAGCACUUGAAUCAGCACCCGGAUUUGGGAUGCCGGCAUCGUAAGCAGUGGAUUAACCCGUUGUGCCACAACACCAGCCCCAGGUGACAAGUUUUUACAUUGUGUGUGAUCAUGUUUGUGCUGAGCAUUAAAAACAUG
Non-coding RNA from Oryctolagus cuniculus (rabbit), 1293 nucleotides. The record is from RefSeq and is a predicted model, not a curated record. Lineage: Eukaryota; Metazoa; Chordata; Mammalia; Lagomorpha; Leporidae.